This 472-nucleotide ribosomal RNA is filed under the name uncultured bacterium. Its description in RNAcentral is "bacterial SSU rRNA". It matches the Rfam family "Bacterial small subunit ribosomal RNA", at positions 355 to 825 of the family's 1533-position model. The record is from RNAcentral.
UGGGGAAUUUUGGGCAAUGGGCGAAAGCCUGAUCCAGCCAUGCCGCGUGUGUGAAGAAGGCCUUCGGGUUGUAAAGCACUUUAAGCGAGGAGGAAUGGCUCUGGGUUAAUACCCUUGAGCAGUGACGUUACUCGCAGAAUAAGCACCGGCUAACUCUGUGCCAGCAGCCGCGGUAAUACAGAGGGUGCAAGCGUUAAUCGGAAUUACUGGGCGUAAAGCGCGCGUAGGCGGUUACGUAAGUUGGAUGUGAAAUCCCCGGGCUCAACCUGGGAAUUGCAUUCAAAACUGCGUGGCUAGAGUGUGGGAGAGGAAGGUAGAAUUCCAGGUGUAGCGGUGAAAUGCGUAGAUAUCUGGAGGAAUACCGAUGGCGAAGGCAGCCUUCUGGCCUAACACUGACGCUGAGGUGCGAAAGCAUGGGGAGCAAACAGGAUUAGAUACCCAUGUAGUCCCUGAGCGGGCUGGCAAGGCGCAU